CCUACGGGAGGCAGCAGUGAGGAAUAUUGGUCAAUGGGCGAAAGCCUGAACCAGCCAAGUAGCGUGCGGGAUGAAGGCCCUACGGGUCGUCAACCGCUUUUGCACGGGGAUAACACUCUCCAAUUGUGUAGGUCUGCAGGUACCGUGCGAAUAAGGGCCGGCUAAUUCCAUCCCAGCAGCCGCGGUAAUACGGAAGGCCCGAGGGUUAUCCGGAUUCAUUGGGCUUAAAGGAAGCGUAGGCGGUCGUUCAAGUCAGCUGUAAAAUCGCGGGGCUCAACCGCGCCCCGCAGUUGAAACUGGACGACUUGAGUGCACGAGAGGCAAGCGGAAUUCGUGGUGUAGCGGUGAAAUGCGUAGAUAUCAGGAGGAACACCGAUGGCGAAGGCAGCCUACCGGGGUGCGACUGACGCUGAGGCUCGAAAGUGCGGGUAUCAAACAGGAUUAGAUACCCGAGUAGUC
This 459-nucleotide ribosomal RNA is filed under the name uncultured bacterium. Its description in RNAcentral is "partial 16S ribosomal RNA". It matches the Rfam family "Bacterial small subunit ribosomal RNA", at positions 338 to 795 of the family's 1533-position model. The record is from RNAcentral.